This 116-nucleotide ribosomal RNA is filed under the name Pteropus alecto (black flying fox). Lineage: Eukaryota; Metazoa; Chordata; Mammalia; Chiroptera; Pteropodidae. The record is from RNAcentral.
GUCUACAGACAUGCCACCCUGAACAAGCCCAAUGUCUUAUCUCGGAAGCUAAGCAGGGUUGAGCCUGGUUAGUACUUGGAUGGGGACCCAGCUAGGAAGACCAGGCACUGUAGGCA